Molecule: ribosomal RNA, 1477 nt
Filed under: uncultured Bordetella sp.
Lineage: Bacteria; Pseudomonadati; Pseudomonadota; Betaproteobacteria; Burkholderiales; Alcaligenaceae
Description: partial 16S-23S ribosomal RNA intergenic spacer
Rfam family: Bacterial small subunit ribosomal RNA
Source: RNAcentral
CAGAGGGUUCGAUCAGCGGCUCAGAUUGAACGCUGGCGGGAUGCUUUACACAUGCAAGUCGAACGGUAAACGGGGACUUCGGUCUGGUGGAGUGGCGAACGGUGAGUAAUGACGGAACGCCUAGUAGCGGGGGAUAACUACGCGAAAGCAGGCUAAUACCAAAUAUUAAACAGCCCUUCGGGGGAAAGCGGGGGACCUUCGGGCCUCGCACUAUUAGAGCGGCCGAUAUCGGAUUAGCUAGUUGGUGGGUAACGCUCACCAAGGCGACGAUCCGUAGCUGGUUUGAGAGGACGACCAGCCACACUGGGACUGGAGACACGGCCCAGACUCCUACGGAGGCAGCAGUGGGGAAUUUUGGACAAUGGGGGAACCCUGAUCCAGCCAUCCCGCGUGUGCGAUGAAGGCCUUCGGGUUGUAAAGCACUUGGCAGGAAAAAGAAACGGCACGGAUAAUACCCCGUGCAACUGACGGUACUGCAGAAUAAGCACCGGCUAACUACGUGCCAGCAGCCGCGGUAAUACGUAGGGUAAGUGUUGGUCUGGAAUUACUGGGCGUAAAGCGUGCAGGCGGUUCGGAAAGAAAGAUGUGAAAUCCCAGAGCUUAACUCUUUGGAACUGCAUUUUUAACUACCGAGCUAGAGUGUGUCAGAGGGAGGUGGAAUUCCGCGUGUAGCAGGAAUGCGUAGAUAUGAGGAAAUAACAUCGACAAGUGAAGGCAGCCUCCUGGGAUAACACUGACGCUCAUGCACGAAAGCGUGGGGACAAACAGGAUUAGAUACCCUGGUAGUCCACGCCCUAAACGAUGUCAACUAGCUGCUGGGGCCUUCGGGCUCGUAGCGCAGCUAACGCAGAAGUUGGACCGCCUGGGGAGUACGGUCGCAAGAUUAAGUCCCACAAAGGAAUUGAUGGGGACCCGCACAAACGUGGAUGAUGUGUGGAUUAAUUCGAUGCAACGAAAACCUACCUACCCUUGACAUGUCUUGGAAUCCCGAAGAGAUUUGGGAGUGCUCGCAAGAGAACCGGAACACAGGUGCUGCAUGGCUGUCGUCAGCUCGUGUCGUGAGAUGUUGCUAAGUCCCGCAACGAGCGCAACCCUUGUCAUUAGUUGCUACGAAAGGGCACUCUAAUGAGACUGCCGGUGACAAACCGAGGAAGUGGGGAUGACGUCAAGUCCUCAUGGCCCUUAUGGGUAGGGCUUCACACGUCAUACAAUGGUCGGGACAGAGGGUCGCCAACCCGCGAGGGGAGCCAAUCCCAGAAACCCGAUCGUAGUCCGGAUCGCAGUCUGCAACUCGACUGCGUGAAGUCGGAAUCGCUAGCACUAUGAUCAGCAUGUCGCGGUGAAUACGUUCCCGGGUCUUGUACACACCGCCCGUCACACCAUGGGAGUGGGUUUUACCAGAAGUAGUUAGCCUAACCGUAAGGAGGGCGAUUACCACGGUAAGAUUCAUGACUGGGGUGAAGUCGUAAUAAGGUAG